This 402-nucleotide ribosomal RNA is filed under the name bacterium. Its description in RNAcentral is "partial 16S ribosomal RNA". It matches the Rfam family "Bacterial small subunit ribosomal RNA", at positions 355 to 776 of the family's 1533-position model. The record is from RNAcentral.
UGGGGAAUUUUGCACAAUGGGGGAAACCCUGAUGCAGCGACGCCGCGUGAUUUAGAAGGCCUUCGGGUUGUAAAAAUCUUUUUUACGGGAUGAAAAUGACAGUACCAUAAGAAUAAGGUCCGGCUAAAUACGUGCCAGCAGCCGCGGUAAUACGUAUGGACCGAGCGUUGUCCGGAAUCAUUGGGCGUAAAGGGUACGUAGGCGGCCUAGUAAGUUAGAAGUGAAAUAAUAUAGCUCAACUAUAUAAAGCUUUUAAAACUGCUAGGCUUUAGAGAUGGAAGGGAAAGUGGACUUCCUAGUGUAGCGGUGAAAUGCGCAGAUAUUAGGAAGAAUACCGGUGGCGAAGGCGACUUUCUGGUCAUCAUCUGCCGCUGAGGUACGAAAGCGUGGGUAGCAAACAGG